RNAcentral lists this long non-coding RNA (640 nucleotides) under Mytilus galloprovincialis (Mediterranean mussel). Lineage: Eukaryota; Metazoa; Mollusca; Bivalvia; Mytilida; Mytilidae. The record is from RNAcentral.
GUUUACCAAAACAAAAGAAAGGUUACGGAUAUCCGUAACUUUAAUAGGGAGCAGUUGUUUAUUUCAUUGAACAAGCUGAACGAAUAAUUGACAAAAUGAUUGAUACCCAUAACAGAUAAAGGCAGUUCUUGCAAUGAAAAAAAGGGGGGUUGCCGACAUGUAAAUAAAAAUGAAAUACAGCUCAUGUUAUAUAUCCAUGGUGUCUUGAAGAAGAGUAAAAUUUCAAAGAUAUACUGGAGAACAGAAAAAGUUCAGACUAAUAGUAUUUUAUUAAUUUUUAAUUUUAUUACUGUUAAUUUUAGAAUAAAAUAGCCCUAGAUAGGCAUCUUCAUAUAUAUAGCUGAUAACCGUCAGCUGAUGCAAUUGCGAUAUUUGCACAUUAACCGUCACAGGUAACAUUAAUGUAUUGGCCAAAAUGCAAAGCAUGCAAACCAUAGAUAAACAAACAGUGAUAUAACUGUGAAAUUUAGAGUAAACCAGCCCAAGAUAGACAUCUUCAUAUUCAGCAUGGCAUAUAGCUCUCUUAACACGGUCAGCCAUUUAUCGUCCCCUUCUGACAGACUAUCAUCGUUAUAAUUUGUUUCAAAACUUUAAAGAGGAGGGGAUGUACAUGCUUUAGGCAACGUGAAUUGUUUUCUAU